Long non-coding RNA from Mastomys coucha (southern multimammate mouse), 789 nucleotides. RefSeq lists it as uncharacterized. Lineage: Eukaryota; Metazoa; Chordata; Mammalia; Rodentia; Muridae. The transcript has 3 exons. The record is from RefSeq and is a predicted model, not a curated record.
UAGAAGCCUCCGUUUCCCUCAUGGAGGAAACAUCUCCAUCUGAAGAAAAUAGCUGUGUAACAGUGCUGCAUUUGAGAGGAUACACUGUUGCGGGACACAAGGGAGGGAAAGUUAAGACCCCGAUUUUAAGCGUCCUGCCAAAACCAUUUAAAGCCUGAAGAACAAUGAGUAGCACAUUUUUGAAUGUGUGGCUAAAACUCGAACAUUCAAAUCCAUCAAUUGGCACAGUUCAUCCAAGAGUCUGGUUCAGGCUGGCAAGCUAAUAGUCCACCCCAGAUCAUCCUGACUAAGCUGAAGACUUUUAAGCAGUGUUUUGAGCCUAAGCAAAAGUUCAGAUGACACAAACACGAAUCACAGGCGGUGCUUCGUAACGCCCAAGAGUGUUAAAGAAAAGAAGAAAUUUCAGCUACUUUUACUCAGUGAGCAUCAAAAUUUCAAGUUACUGAACUGAACUAAAAGAGCUGGACAAACUGCUACAAGCCAACCAAGCAAAAUAAGGAACAAACAGUAAAGGACAAAAAGGCCUUAAAUCUGAAAGAAUGCAAACCAAGUACCCAAGUACGAUGCCAGCGUUCAGUUUUCAUUCUCUACCUCAGCCCCUGCCUCCACCGUUCAGAGCUAGGAACUCAGUCCUUCCCCAGAAAGAAAAAAUUCUCCAGCUCGUUCUGCUUCAGCUGGGUCCUCAGUUCCCGUCUGACACAUAAGGGCAACAUGUCUGGAAAGACUGAUGAUGUAAAUAAAUACAUUGACAUUAUUAAUGAAAUAAAUAUUAAAGAAAAGUAAAACAGA